AGUUUUAUUCAUCCAACAAAUGUUUAUUGAGGGACCAGUUCAUGCCAGGUGGUUAUGGGUAAAGACUAUUUGAGGGCCCUGAGUUUUUCAGGGACAGAAAGGAGGGGCUAAGGCUCAGUACCAAGCCAAUAGCCCAGGAUUGAAGUGCUGAGAAAGAUGGUCACAAAGGUGUGAGCCUUUGUGAGAGAAAAAAACUCAACAGUAAAUUUUAAUACGGAGAAAACAGGAGGCAGAAUGGCCAGCGGCAGAAGCCCAGCUUUGGGAUAGAGCAUGAGGUCUUGGCAUGAGCAGCUGAAAACCAGACACAACUCCCCAAGGGGCUUUGAAUGACAAAGACCCAUCCCCAAGGUUCCUGAGCAAUGGGAGAGAGAGAAGGAAGUUCCUAAUGCAU
Molecule: long non-coding RNA, 391 nt
Filed under: Pan troglodytes (chimpanzee)
Lineage: Eukaryota; Metazoa; Chordata; Mammalia; Primates; Hominidae
Description: long non-coding RNA NONPTRT013930
Source: RNAcentral